GACGAACGCUGGCGGCGUGCUUAACACAUGCAAGUCGAGCGGUAAGGCCCUUUCAGGGGUACACGAGCGGCGAACGGGUGAGUAACACGUGGGUGACCUGCCCUUAGCUCUGGGAUAAGCCUGGGAAACUGGGUCUAAUACCGGAUAUGACUCCAUGACGCAUGUUGUGGGGUGGAAAGCCUUGUGCGGCUAGGGAUGGGCCUGCGGCCUAUCAGCUUGUUGGUGGGGUGANGGCCUACCAAGGCGACGACGGGUAGCCGGCCUGAGAGGGCGACCGGCCACACUGGGACUGAGACACGGCCCAGACUCCUACGGGAGGCAGCAGUGGGGAAUCUUGCGCAAUGGGCGAAAGCCUGACGCAGCGACGCCGCGUGGGGAUGACGGCCUGGUGU
RNAcentral lists this ribosomal RNA (392 nucleotides) under uncultured bacterium. RNAcentral describes it as "bacterial SSU rRNA". It matches the Rfam family "Bacterial small subunit ribosomal RNA", at positions 28 to 422 of the family's 1533-position model. The record is from RNAcentral.